RNAcentral lists this ribosomal RNA (465 nucleotides) under uncultured bacterium. RNAcentral's name for it is "partial 16S ribosomal RNA". It matches the Rfam family "Bacterial small subunit ribosomal RNA", at positions 338 to 795 of the family's 1533-position model. The record is from RNAcentral.
CCUACGGGUGGCAGCAGUGGGGAAUAUUGCGCAAUGGGCGAAAGCCUGACGCAGCGACGCCGCGUGAGGGAUGAAGGUCUUCGGAGCGUAAACCUCUGUCAGCAGGGAAGAACGGUCACUGUGCUAAUCAGCAGUGAAUUGACGGUACCUGCAAAGGAAGCACCGGCUAACUCCGUGCCAGCAGCCGCGGUAAUACGGAGGGUGCGAGCGUUAAUCGGAAUUACUGGGCGUAAAGGGCUCGUAGGCGGUAUGUCAAGUCAAGGGUGAAAUCCCCGCGCUCAACGUGGGAACUGCCUUUGAAACUGGCAGACUGGAGUGUGUGAGAGGAUAGUGGAAUUCCAGGUGUAGGAGUGAAAUCCGUAGAUAUCUGGAGGAACAUCAGUGGCGAAGGCGACUAUCUGGCACGUCACUGACGCUGAGGAGCGAAAGCGUGGGUAGCAAACAGGAUUAGAUACCCCUGUAGUC